GUCGAACGGGAAAGGGGAGCAAUCCCUGAGUACAGUGGCGUACGGGUGAGUAACACGUGGGUAAUCUACCUUCGGGUGGGGGAUAACCCUGGGAAACCGGGGCUAAUACCGCAUAAGAUCGAGAGAUGAAAGCCGCAAGGCGCCGGAAGAGGAGCCCGCGGCCGAUUAGCUAGUUGGUGGGGUAAAGGCUCACCAAGGCGAAGAUCGGUAGCCGGCCUGAGAGGGCACUCGGCCACACUGGCACUGAGACACGGGCCAGACUCCUACGGGAGGCAGCAGUGGGGANUCUUGCACAAUGGGGGAAACCCUGAUGCAGCGACGCCGCGUGAGCGAUGAAGCCCUUCGGGGCGUAAAGCUCUUUCGACGGGAACGAUGAUGACGGUACCCGGAGAAGAAGCUGCGGCUAACUACGUGCCAGCAGCCGCGGUAAUACGUAGGCAGCGAGCGUUGUUCGGAGUUACUGGGCGUAAAGAGUAUGUAGGCGGUUUCUCAGGUCUGGUGUGAAAUCUCCCGGCUCAACUGGGAGGGUGCGCCGGAAACUGGGAGGCUGGAGCGUGGGAGAGGAAAGCGGAAUUCCCGGUGUAGCGGUGAAAUGCGUAGAUAUCGGGAGGAANNNCGGUGGUGUAGANGGCUUUCUGGACCACGGCUGACGCUGAGAUACGAAAGCGUGGGGAGCAAACAGGAUUAGAUNCNNNGGUAGUCCACGCCCUAAACGAUGCGCACUUGGUGUGAGUCAUUCAGUUGAUUCGUGCCGGAGCUAACGCGUUAAGUGCGCCG
RNAcentral lists this ribosomal RNA (777 nucleotides) under uncultured Acidobacteriota bacterium. RNAcentral's name for it is "bacterial SSU rRNA". It matches the Rfam family "Bacterial small subunit ribosomal RNA", at positions 61 to 871 of the family's 1533-position model. The record is from RNAcentral. Lineage: Bacteria; Pseudomonadati; Acidobacteriota.